Molecule: ribosomal RNA, 492 nt
Filed under: uncultured bacterium
Lineage: Bacteria
Description: partial 16S ribosomal RNA
Rfam family: Bacterial small subunit ribosomal RNA
Source: RNAcentral
AGUGAACGCUGGCGGUAGGCCUAACACAUGCAAGUCGAACGGCAGCACCGUAAGAGCUUGCUCUUACGGGUGGCGAGUGGCGGGCGGGUGAGGAAUACAUCGGAAUCUACUUUUUCGUGGGGGAUAACGUAGGGAAACUUACGCUAAUACCGCAUACGACCUACGGGUGAAAGCAGGGGAUCUUCGGACCUUGCGCGAUUGAAUGAGCCGAUGUCGGAUUAGCUAGUUGGCGGGGUAAAGGCCCACCAAGGCGACGAUCCGUAGCUGGUCUGAGAGGAUGAUCAGCCACACUGGAACUGAGACACGGUCCAGACUCCUACGGGAGGCAGCAGUGGGGAAUAUUGGACAAAGGGCGCAAGCCUGAUCCAGCCAUACCGCGUGGGUGAAGAAGGCCUUCGGGUUGUAAAGCCCUUUUGUUGGGAAAGAAAAGCAGCAGGUUAAUACCCCGCUGUUCUGACGGUACCCAAAGAAUAAGCACCGGCUAACUUCGUG